GUUUCUUCCUCCUCUCUACCUUCCCUCUUCCUUAUUUCCUCUCGCCGUAUCCCACCUCUCCAAAUUUCCAUGCGAACGAGAUCGAGAUCGAGAUCGAGAUCGAGGGAGAAGAACUCGAGCGGGCAGUUGAAGCCGGGCCAUGGGAGUUUUGCUGUAACCGGAGUCGAGGGCGUGUGAUCAGGGGCUGAAGGAACAUAUCGACGCCAGAGAUUAGCAACUGGACUGGAACUUCAGUCCUCCUCAUUAGGAUUUGUCUAACAUGCCACGCCCACUGAAUGCAGAAGAGGAAGAACCCCAUACGGAGGUUCCCCAAGAGGAUUUGUCUAACAUGCCAUGCCCACUGAAUGCAGAAGAGGAAGAACCCGAUACGGAGGUUCCCCAAGGUAUGUGCAUCUCCCAAUUCCCCUUUUGUAAAAGCUUGUGCAGGAUGCUUAAUUUGUCUUCUAAUCUUCACCUAAUAAUAGGGGUAUAGGCAGGACCUCAGAUUUCUGAUAGUUAUAGAAAAACACAAAAUAAACAUGAACUAAUAGGAAGAGAGGAGCUUAAGAGUCGGUCAUUGACGAUUAAUAGAUCUUUGAAAAUGGACAGAACAAUACUCCCUAGUGUGAAAUUUAAAUUUUGAAAAGCAAUGGCUCUCUAUCCCCUCAGAUCACCUACAUAAAGAGCAUUUGCUUUUUUAAAACAGAAGCAAAUUGUGGUUUUCAAUCUGAAGAGCACAGUUUGAAAUCUGUCUCCCAUGUAUGUUAUAUAAGAAAGCCUCCAUCUG
Long non-coding RNA from Eucalyptus grandis, 766 nucleotides. RefSeq lists it as uncharacterized. The record is from RefSeq and is a predicted model, not a curated record. Lineage: Eukaryota; Viridiplantae; Streptophyta; Magnoliopsida; Myrtales; Myrtaceae. The transcript is spliced from 3 exons.